GUUUGAAUAUAAGCAUGGUUUUGAAUGGAGUAUGUUUGUGUGAAUGGGUAGGGGUGUGUUUGUAUGUGCCGUUUGAAUGCAAGCAUGCAUUUAUGUGUAGUGUUGGAUUGUAGUGUUGAAUAUAGGGAUGUGUUUAUAUAUUAUUGGUGUUUAACACCAAAAUGUGCGUGUUUGUAUGUAGUGCUGGUGUUUCAAUGCAGGUGUGUGUGUGUAUGUAGUAUUGAAGUUUGAUUGCAGUGGUGUAUUUGUAUGUAGUGUUGGUAUGUCAAUGCUG
Molecule: non-coding RNA, 274 nt
Organism: Pelobates cultripes (western spadefoot toad)
Lineage: Eukaryota; Metazoa; Chordata; Amphibia; Anura; Pelobatidae
Source: the annotation of a GenBank genome assembly